RNAcentral lists this ribosomal RNA (394 nucleotides) under uncultured bacterium. Its description in RNAcentral is "bacterial SSU rRNA". It matches the Rfam family "Bacterial small subunit ribosomal RNA", at positions 30 to 431 of the family's 1533-position model. The record is from RNAcentral.
AUCGAACGCUGGCGGAAUGCUUUACACAUGCAAGUCGAACGGUAGAGGGGGCAACCCCUUGAGAGUGGCGAACGGGUGAGUAAUAUAUCGGAACGUGCCCGGUCGUGGGGGAUAACGUAGCGAAAGCUACGCUAAUACCGCAUACGAUCUACGGAUGAAAGCGGGGGAUCGCAAGACCUCGCGCGAUUGGAGCGGCCGAUAUCAGAUUAGGUAGUUGGUGAGGUAAAGGCUCACCAAGCCGACGAUCUGUAGCUGGUCUGAGAGGACGACCAGCCACACUGGGACUGAGACACGGCCCAGACUCCUACGGGAGGCAGCAGUGGGGAAUUUUGGACAAUGGGCGCAAGCCUGAUCCAGCAAUGCCGCGUGCAGGAUGAAGGCCUCGGUUGUAACU